UGCGGCCAGUAUGAGACCGGUUGAUCCUGCCGGAGGGAACCCCUAUCGGGUUCAGACUAAGCCAUGCGAGUCGGCUGGGGGCACUUGCCCCUGGCGGCGCACGGCUCAGUAAUACGCGGUCAACCUACCCUGGGGACCGGGAUAACCUCGGGAAACUGAGGCUAAUCCCGGAUAGGUGUGGGGUGCUGAAAUGCCCUCACGCCAAAAGUAGGCGGGAAAUGGACCGCUGAGGCCCCAGGAUGGGACCGCGGCCUAUCAGGUAGUAGGUGGGGUAACGGCCCACCUAGCCUACGACGGGUACGGGCCCUGAGAGGGGGAGCCCGGAGAUGGGCACUGAGACAAGGGUCUAGGCCCUAAGGGGUGCAGCAGGCGCGAAGAUUCCGCAAUGCCCGAAAGGGCGACGGAGUGAACCCGAGUGCCACCCGCUGAGGGUGGCUGUUCCCCUGUGUAAAAAGCAGGGGGUAGAAAGGGGAGGGCAAGGCUGGUGGCAGCCGCCGCGGUAAAACCAGCUCCCCGAGGGGUUCCCACGCAUACUGGGCCUAAAGCGUCCGUAGCCGGCCCUGCAAGUCUGCAGUUAAAUCCGCCUGUAGACAGGCGGGCUGCUGCAGAUACUGCAGGGCUAGGGAGCGGGAGGAGCCGGGGGUAUUCCCGGGGGAGCGGUAAAAUGCGUAGAUCCCGGGAGGACCACCAGUGGCGAAGGCGCCCGGCUUGAACGCGUCCGACGGUGAGGGACGAAAGCUGGGGGAGCAAACCGGAUUAGAUACCCGGGUAGUCCCAGCCGUAAACGAUGCCGGCUAGGUGCUGGCCAAGGUUUCGGCCUUGGCCAGUGUCGAAGCGAAGGCAUUAAGCCGGCCGCCUGAGGAGUACGGCCGCAAGGCUGAAACUUGAAGGAAUUGACGGGGGGGCACCACAAGGGGUGAAUGCCUGCGGCUUAAUUGGACUCAACGCCGGGAAUCUUACCGGGGGCGACAGCAGGAUGAAGGUCAGGCUGAAGACCUUACCAGACGCGCUGAGGGGUGGUGCAUGGCCGUCGCCAGCUCGUGCCGUGAGGUGUCCUGUUAAGUCAGGCAACGAGCGAGACCCCCGCCCCUAGUUGCCAGCGGCCUCCUUCGGGAGGGACCGGGCAAACUAGGGGGACCGCCUCCGAAGAGGAGGAGGAAGGUGGGGGCUACGGCAGGUCAGUAUGCCCCUAAUCCCCCGGGCCGCACGCGGGCUGCAAUGGGCGGGACAGCGGGAUGCGACCCCGAGAGGGGGAGCUAAUCCCUCAAACCCGCUCGUAGUUGGGAUCGAGGGCUGCAACUCGCCCUCGUGAACCCGGAAUCCCUAGUAACCGCGGUUCUCCAUACCGCGGUGAAUACGUCCCUGCCCCUUGUACACACCGCCCGUCAACUCACCCGAGUGGAGCUGGGGCAAGGUCCCAGCUCCAAAAGAGCUGGGAUCGAGCCUUGGCUCCGCGAGGGGGGGUAAGUCGUAACAAGGUAGCCGUAGGGGAACCUGCGGCUGGAUCACCUCCCA
This 1515-nucleotide ribosomal RNA is filed under the name Candidatus Methanodesulfokora washburnensis. RNAcentral's name for it is "bacterial SSU rRNA". It matches the Rfam family "Archaeal small subunit ribosomal RNA". Lineage: Archaea; Thermoproteati; Thermoproteota; Candidatus Korarchaeia. The record is from RNAcentral.